UACGAAGGGUGCAAGCGUUACUCGGAAUUACUGGGCGUAAAGCGUGCGUAGGUGGUUUGUUAAGUCUGUUGUGAAAGCCCCGGGCUCAACCUGGGAAUGGCAAUGGAUACUGGCAAGCUAGAGUGCGGUAGAGGGUAGUGGAAUUCCCGGUGUAGCGGUGAAAUGCGUAGAGAUCGGGAGGAACACCAGUGGCGAAGGCGGCUACCUGGACCAGCGCUGACACUGAUGAGCGAAAGCCAGGGGAGCAAACGGG
This 253-nucleotide ribosomal RNA is filed under the name uncultured bacterium. Its description in RNAcentral is "partial 16S ribosomal RNA". It matches the Rfam family "Bacterial small subunit ribosomal RNA", at positions 524 to 776 of the family's 1533-position model. The record is from RNAcentral.